UACGAAGGGGGCUAGCGUUGCUCGGAAUCACUGGGCGUAAAGGGUGCGUAGGCGGGUCUUUAAGUCAGGGGUGAAAUCCUGGAGCUCAACUCCAGAACUGCCUUUGAUACUGAGGAUCUUGAGUUCGGGAGAGGUGAGUGGAACUGCGAGUGUAGAGGUGAAAUUCGUAGAUAUUCGCAGGAACACCAGUGGCGAAGGCGACUCGCUGGAUCAUUGCUGACGCUGAGACGCGAAAGCGUGGGGAGCAAACAGG
Molecule: ribosomal RNA, 253 nt
Filed under: uncultured bacterium
Lineage: Bacteria
Description: partial 16S ribosomal RNA
Rfam family: Bacterial small subunit ribosomal RNA
Source: RNAcentral